GAACAUUGUUAUUAUUGUGUUGUGUAUGGAGAGAGCAGAUGUUCAUCGAAAAUCGGCGCCGCGCCAUGGUGAGUGUUUUGGGUUUGGUAUGGUUUUUGUUGUAGCAGGUUUGGAUUAUGGUGAAGAAAUGGUAAUGUUUUCACGUUUUUCUUUGGUUUGAAGGGAUAUGUUUUUAUGGUGCGAAUAAAUUAUGCUCAUGAAGGUUGUGAGAGUGUGAAUUUAAUGUGAAG
Molecule: long non-coding RNA, 230 nt
Filed under: Lathyrus oleraceus (garden pea)
Lineage: Eukaryota; Viridiplantae; Streptophyta; Magnoliopsida; Fabales; Fabaceae
Description: Pisum sativum (pea) long non-coding RNA (PSAT_LNC005530)
Source: RNAcentral